CCAAGUCUAAGAAACAUAAAGACUUUUUGGUUAGUUCUUGGGCCAACCUUGUUGACCAUAUGUACUAUGAUGACCAAGAUGCUGUUCUUGAGAACUUGGAUUCUAAAUACCUAAAAUUCCAACUUUCCAUGUCCGAAUCCAAAAAAAAAGAAACUUAAACAGAAAAAUAAAACCAUGAAGUUCUCAUCUUCAUCUGGAGCAUCUUCUUCUAGUUCUUCCAUUGAGUCAACUUUUAAAGUGAUGUCUUUGGAUUUCUUCUCUUGAAUCUCAUUCUUUUCU
RNAcentral lists this long non-coding RNA (279 nucleotides) under Lathyrus oleraceus (garden pea). RNAcentral describes it as "Pisum sativum (pea) long non-coding RNA (PSAT_LNC008311)". The record is from RNAcentral. Lineage: Eukaryota; Viridiplantae; Streptophyta; Magnoliopsida; Fabales; Fabaceae.